AGAGACUUAGGUUAAUACUAGACCAAAAGCCUUCAAAGCUUUCAGUGAGGGUGAAAAUCCCCCAGCCUCUG
Molecule: transfer RNA, 71 nt
Filed under: Auriglobus modestus (bronze puffer)
Lineage: Eukaryota; Metazoa; Chordata; Actinopteri; Tetraodontiformes; Tetraodontidae
Description: tRNA-Trp
Rfam family: tRNA
About the family: Transfer RNA (tRNA) molecules are approximately 80 nucleotides in length. Their secondary structure includes four short double-helical elements and three loops (D, anti-codon, and T loops). Further hydrogen bonds mediate the characteristic L-shaped molecular structure. tRNAs have two regions of fundamental functional importance: the anti-codon, which is responsible for specific mRNA codon recognition, and the 3' end, to which the tRNAs corresponding amino acid is attached (by aminoacyl-tRNA synthetases). tRNAs cope with the degeneracy of the genetic code in two manners: having more than one tRNA (with a specific anti-codon) for a particular amino acid; and 'wobble' base-pairing, i.e. permitting non-standard base-pairing at the 3rd anti-codon position.
Source: RNAcentral